Molecule: unclassified non-coding RNA, 346 nt
Filed under: soil metagenome
Description: partial contains 5.8S ribosomal RNA, internal transcribed spacer 2, and large subunit ribosomal RNA
Rfam family: 5.8S ribosomal RNA (bases 1-120)
Source: RNAcentral
GAUGAAGAACGCAGCAAAAUGCGAUAAGUAGUGUGAAUUGCAGAAUUCAGUGAAUCAUCGAGUCUUUGAACGCACAUUGCGCCCCCUGGUAUUCCGGGGGGCAUGCCUGUCCGAGCGUCAUUGCUGCCCUCAAGCACGGCUUGUGUGUUGGGCCCCGUCCUCCGAUCCCGGGGGACGGGCCCGAAAGGCAGCGGCGGCACCGCGUCCGGUCCUCGAGCGUAUGGGGCUUUGUCACCCGCUCUGUAGGCCCGGCCGGCGCUUGCCGAUCAACCCAAAUUUUUAUCCAGGUUGACCUCGGAUCAGGUAGGGAUACCCGCUGAACUUAAGCAUAUCAAUAAGCGGAGGA